UGACCCCGUGACCCCGUCUCUCGCCCGGAACACAGCUGGAGAGGAACCAGCAACCCUCCUAACCCCAUUAGGGACGAAGGGUGAACAGGAAACGGACGGACAGACGGACUUCCAGCAGAUUAUUGCUGCUAUCCUGAAUCUCUCCUCACAUCCAAACCUGAAGGUCGGCGUGGGUCAGACACUGACCCCGCCCCCAAGUUCUACUGGGUCACACCGACUGGAGAUGAGGUGAUCUAUGCGCUGCUGGGCCUGUCAGAACCCGGAGCCUUGCUGAUCCAACGGGCUGAACCUUCAGACUCAGGUCUGACCUGGUUCUGAGCAGUUCUAACCGGGUUCUAGCUGGGUUCUCCAGAACCUGGAGCGUCUCGCUGUCGGUGGAACCGCCGGACAGCUGUCUGGUGGUUCUGGCUACGGUACCAAUCCGGUCCUGGUUCUGCUGCUGGGGCUCACCGGAACGUCCUGCUGAAUCGGCUCGGCGCCAGGCAGGUUCUGACCCACUGGAUCAGCGCCGUGGUCCACAGCAAAGAUCAGCUACAUGGCCCAGGUGAGGACCGGCCCACCUGUCCACUGACCCCCUGGCCCCACCCACAUUAACCAUUGGCCCCGCCCUCCUGGAUCAAAAAGCGGCUUUUCCUGUGGAAACUCUCAGCAGCGUUUCUCAAAUCGUGGCUCUGGGACUGUUGUGGGCCAUCAGCGGGUCCAGAUGGACAGUGAAGGUGUCAUGGCCGCCUGCAUGGCUUUGGCUUCUCUGGAUCAUAGAAUACGCCAAACUAACGCUUUAGUCUGAAAUUAACCCUCACUUCCUCUUGGCAAAUGAAACAGGAAGCUGUUCCCUUCCUAUUUCCUGUGAGUUCUGGCAUGAAGUCCAACAGAACCAGUCCAGCUGCUGAGCAGGUAGAACUCACCUCAGGUUGGACCUGCAGGCCUCCCUGCAGCGCCCUCUGCUGUCAGGAGGCUGUUUUAUUAUCCUCACACUUUAUACAGCAUAAUGUUUGACAGAAUUUCUGACAAAACACUGUAAACCUUUAUUGUUGUGAUGUCAUAAAUCCUAGAUAUAAAUCUGA
Long non-coding RNA from Gambusia affinis (western mosquitofish), 1064 nucleotides. RefSeq lists it as uncharacterized. NCBI's taxonomy places the organism in Eukaryota, Metazoa, Chordata, Actinopteri, Cyprinodontiformes, Poeciliidae. The record is from RefSeq and is a predicted model, not a curated record. The transcript is spliced from 2 exons.